Molecule: unclassified non-coding RNA, 22 nt
Filed under: Mus musculus (house mouse)
Lineage: Eukaryota; Metazoa; Chordata; Mammalia; Rodentia; Muridae
Description: oocyte_clustered_small_RNA11359
Source: RNAcentral
UGUGAAGCAGGCUGUCAUAGAG